UGGUGACGUUAGCGGAGAGCUUCGAUUCGCUGAUUAAACAGGCGGCGCCCCAGAUCGUGAAAGCCAGAGUCCUAUAUAAUCCGUGUGCUGUUGUUAGCGGCAUUGCUCGGUUGUGCCUUUCCGUCACGUGAAGCGGAAGGGCAUAAGGCCGAAGGACAAGCUCUGGAAUUAGACCGGCACGAUUGAAAAUCUGCCUGCGACGUCCGCCUCGGCAUCGCGGAGGUGACAGCGGUCUGGCUCCCAGCAGGGAGAGGACUUAACGAGCUAAUCACAGGUGGUCUGCGAAACGUGUGUCGAAGAAGCGUGAGAAGAAGUUACAAGGCCUGGCUACUGUGACUGCAGCCAUUCACAAACCGAAGUGCUUUUAGGCCGCUUCAAUUACACGAGGCGCGAUUAAAAAAUAAUGCAGUGAAUGCGCUAAAAGAUUAUUCAUAGGAGAGUAGAACAUUAAUCCUCAGUAACAGUGUGUGACAAGUUUAAACUUGUUCGUGCCGUCAGUUGUGAGCUAUGGUGGAGAGAAGGUGCGCGAACCGAGUUUGUACCCAGACACACUACAGUGAGCUCUCAGUACUAUAAGGGCGCAGCAGAGCAUUGGUGAAAAGGUGGGCACAGAAAACCGCCCGAGAAAUGGGCCUGCACUGUGUCACAGGAUGUUUCCGGUACCGCGGUUUCUGGCAAAUAAAAACAUGACUCCAUGUCCUCAUUCACCAGGUUCAGUGGAUCCGGCACUUCGAAAUCCCAAAGUGGUGAUGAGCAUGAAAGAAAGGUUUUGCAUUAACUCAGGAUAUCCAGGCAGCCACUGCAGAACAACCACAGACCCUCAGGAGAGAGGACUCCGGAGCUGCUUCAGAGAGCAGGAAGGACAACGGGAUAGGAAGAAGAGGGGAUGUCAGAGUGUCCUUCUGCACCUGCUGUUUUCCAGGUGCCUCGAGCUCAAACUAAACCUUAAACCAAAGCAGCAGAUCUCAGGGCAGCCUGUCCUGAACUCUUCAGAGGGAGUUUCACUACCUGGAGCCGGGAGUGGUGGUACGUGGUGACAAUCCCAGACUCAGAAAAGUCACUGAAUUCAGGGCCAGCCGGGGCUGCAUGAUGAGACCCUGUCUCACAAAAACAAACAAACAAAAGGAGUUCACCUGCCUCAAAAAUACCCUGUGUUGCAUCUGUUCAUCUCUCCCUGCCUGGAAACCACUGAGCUUUCUGUUGUCAUACUAAUGCCUUUUCCAGAAUGCCACACAGCUGAAACCAUGAUGCAUGUAGCUUUUCAGUUUGGCUUCUCUCAUUUAACCAUGUGCAUUUACUGUUCUUCUGUGUCUUUGUGUGGCCUGGAAGCUGCUUCCUUUACGUUGCCGAGUGAUAUUUCACUGGCGGGUGUAACACAGUUUGUUUAAGCAUCACCCAUGCAAGACAACUUGGUUGCCACUAAUCUGGGGCAAUAGAUAAUAAGGUCCCUAUAUUGUGAUUAGGUUUUUGUGUAUGUAUAAGUUUUCAACUAUUUGGGGAAAUAAGGAGCACAACUGGGGUACUGUCAUAAGGUCAUGUUUAUCUAGGCUUUGUGGUAUACACAUACAAUCCUAGCACUCUGGAAGGCUGAGGCAGGAAGAGCCAAAGUCCAAGCCCACCUGUGCAACUUACUGACUUAGUGAGAUCCAAUCUCAGAAUAAAAUUUUAAAAGGGCCAGAGGUAUCACACAGUGUGAAGGUUCCAGGUUCAGUCCCUAGUGUCACCUCCAAAACCAUACAUUUCCUGCACUGUUGAUAUAGGGGGAAUAAAUGUAACUCCCAAGCCUAUUAGAUGUUUGAUACACUGAGUCUGCGUUCUCCAAAACUGGAGAAUGGGUUCUGAGGAACAGUGGAAGUUAAGAGUAGAGAAUUUUACUGAGAGAGAAACCGCUCCUGAGAGGGACAGGAGGGCUCCUAGAAAAUGGGUUGUGGAUUCCACUUACAGGAGAGAUUUUAUAGAGCAAAAUCAAGGGGUGGGCACAAAACUGUGUUCAACCAAUAGGAUUACAGGAUUGUAGUUAUUUAGAUAAUAUUGAUCCAAUGGGGAAGCAGGUCAUGUAGCAAACACCCGCGGAUGGCAUCAUUCACCUUGACCCAUAAUCCAUAGUUUUAGUCUUAGCUGCACUCAUAGUGGGUAGGAAAAGGUGGCCCACCCUUAACGCGAUAAUGGUUCAUUCAUGGAUCUCAGAAGGGUGGCACUGAAGCCUUUGUGUAUCCCUCACAGGCAUGUAGGUCUUUCUUUCAUCUUUACCUUGAGGCCUGACCUUCAGUGGGCAGUUGUGAUGUGUUCUGGUCUUCUGCACCGACUCCGGAGGGCCCAGCCCUGUCAGACGGCCUAUAUUCUUUCCACCUAACUUGGCUCUUUAUAUCCCCGUCAUUUCUACAACAGCCCCUGAUGGUAUCCGUCAGCCUUUCCGGGUGAGAGUGUGCACAAAGGAGUCAGGAAAGGGGACUGCGAUGCACCCAGGGGGCUGUGGAGGCGGCUGAUGCAGCAAUCAACACCCCUAUCCCCCAGGACCAGCAAUUCCCAACCUUUUCUGUUGCUUUUGCUACUGGCCCCUCUGGAGUGUGUUAGAUGUGUUCUUCUCACCGGCAGGCUCCCCACGACAUUUUAACGUGGCAGUUCCAGAAGGAUUCACACCAGGUCCCGCGUUCCAGCGCUGCCACCCUGAGGACUAGGCCUCCACACAGAGACCUGGGGAGACAAUACAUCCAAUCACGCCACAGGAAGUCAUCUCGGCUCCGUGCAUAAAAGAGAAACUGUUCUCAUUUCUUGGAGGGUGAUCGUGCGCGCUAGACUGAACGCUGCCGGAGAAGUGAAGAGUUGCUGCGGGACCCCUCCUCUCAAUGUGCUAAUCCAAUCCCACUUUGCCUAGUGCUUUCAACACAGUGCUAUACUAAAUGUUUGCUGGAUUGCAAGUAACUGGGCAAGGGCGAGGGAUGGGGGAUGAGCGGUGUGACGCCAUCGCCGGACCGGAAAGAGCCGGAGGGCGCAGGUGCAAGAAGAACGCAGCAAACACUGAAACGCUGGCUUUGUCCACCCUCAUCCUUGCCCGGCCUCGACGACACCCACUCCUGCCGUAUUCUAGACGUUCAGCGGGCGUAUUUGGAGGGGAAACCAAUUCAUUCUUCAGAAUGACUGCUUGACAUACACACGUUAAGGCUGUCUGGUCAUCUGAAAAUUAAGGAAUUUAUUUGGAUUCGUUCCAUUAGGGAAGAACCGUGUUCUCUUAUUUUCAACAUAUAAAACAUUUGCUCCAGUUUACCAGAAUUCUGAAGAUUAAAUGUCUGGAGCCCCUCUUGCUUUAUUUCUGCACCACCCAGAAGAAAGGAGUGAAUCCUUUGCUGUGGGCCCAAAAAGAGCAGAGCAAGUUCCAGGGAGCAAAGUACCCUUAUUCUCACAGUGUUUUGAUUCUCCGGCUUGUCUGCGUUCUGGAGUAUAAAUUGCCCAAAGGCAGGGGAUGUGUAGGCCCAGCUGAAAUCAAGAAGAUAAACACUCAUUAAAUGCAUGCAUAAAUUAUCCCAGAUCCCUGCCCCUCAGGGCUGGCAAUCUACUAGGCCACAGGUUUUUCUCAGUUUUUCUGUUUGUUAGUCCAUGUCUGCGGUGCGUGAUGGUCACAGUUCCUCCUGGGAGUUGGUGCUCGUAAGUAACACAGCUCAGCUCUUUCCCUCAGCCCCUUGUCUCCCGCCCUCCUUUCAUCCCUCAGUCCCCUCUCCUUUUGCAAAAGAUUUCUGUCCUCGU
This is a long non-coding RNA of Fukomys damarensis (Damara mole-rat), 3741 nucleotides long. RefSeq lists it as uncharacterized. The record is from RefSeq and is a predicted model, not a curated record. The transcript has 5 exons. Lineage: Eukaryota; Metazoa; Chordata; Mammalia; Rodentia; Bathyergidae.